This is a long non-coding RNA of Salvia hispanica, 857 nucleotides long. RefSeq lists it as uncharacterized. NCBI's taxonomy places the organism in Eukaryota, Viridiplantae, Streptophyta, Magnoliopsida, Lamiales, Lamiaceae. The record is from RefSeq and is a predicted model, not a curated record.
CCAACAUCCCCUCGUAACUAUCAUUCAAUUCAAUCAAUAUACAUUUGGGGUGGGUAGAGUAAAAAAAAUUUUAGUCCGACUAGGCGUAAUCCGAUUAGUGUUGAUCCGAAACUCGCUAAGCUGGCGUGAUUGAGAGCCUUACUGGUUAUAGGUUCCCAACUAAUCCUAGGAAACGAAAAUCUCAACAAUUAGAUUGGUUGUAUCAAUUUCUAUUUGUUCCAAAUUAUUAGACUAUCAUGUUUUCUCACCCACUAUAAUUCUUGGCCGUGGGCCAUUUAGGGAGCCCAAUUGGGUGAAUAUAAUUCUAUUCAUUCUGAUUUUCCUGAAAUUCUGAGUAUGCCGCCGCUUGAGGAUUCCCCGCAAUUCAAAUAUGGCUUGCUUCAACCCUACUUUAGCAUGGAGAGAUUUGUCGGUACAUACGAUGAUCGUAAAUCCUACUGUCUCUAACCGAUUACACCCAAUGCAAGUAUUUCUUCCGGCUAAUUCGAGAGAGCAGGGUAGAAUCAUGGAGAAUAGUAUUUGAAGGAUAGUUUUGUGAACAUUGUGGGGAACAUGUUUCAUGGGUUGAGCCUUGUAACAUCUACUGUGAAGCAAAUUGAUUGUGAUUAUAACCAUGUUGGUGUUGUAAACACUGUCCAAGCAAUGGUAUCAAUAGCAACAAGUCGUGAAGAAUUCUAUAAGUUUAAACCUUCUGGGUCCCCAGUGGAUUGGGAGUGAGAAGCACAACUGCAUUUUGUAUGCAAGUAUUUUGCAAGAAUGUUUGAUCAUCUUGAAUUGUGGCUUACUAUCUGUAUUUUGCCAGGAAUGAUUGAUCUUCAACUUAGUUGUGCUUCAAUUAAAAUGAUCUUCUUCUGUCU